RNAcentral lists this ribosomal RNA (233 nucleotides) under Balneola sp. Its description in RNAcentral is "partial 23S ribosomal RNA". It matches the Rfam family "Bacterial large subunit ribosomal RNA", at positions 2685 to 2925 of the family's 2925-position model. The record is from RNAcentral. Lineage: Bacteria; Pseudomonadati; Balneolota; Balneolia; Balneolales; Balneolaceae.
GAGAGGACCGGAGUGGACGAACCGCUAGUGUACCUGUUGUGUGGUCGCAUGCAUCGCAGGGUAGCUAUGUUCGGAAGUGAUAAGCCGCUGAACGCAUCUAAGCGCGAAGCACGCUCCAAGAUAAGUAUUCCCUAUGAGUCUCCCGGAAGACGACCGGGUAGAUAGGUGGCAGGUGUACGCAUGGCAACAUGUUUAGCCGAGCCAUACUAAUUAGACCAUUGGCUUUGUUUAUA